RNAcentral lists this ribosomal RNA (775 nucleotides) under Pseudomonas putida. RNAcentral describes it as "bacterial SSU rRNA". It matches the Rfam family "Bacterial small subunit ribosomal RNA", at positions 114 to 873 of the family's 1533-position model. Lineage: Bacteria; Pseudomonadati; Pseudomonadota; Gammaproteobacteria; Pseudomonadales; Pseudomonadaceae. The record is from RNAcentral.
UGCCUAGGAAUCUGCCUGGUAGUGGGGGACAACGUUUCGAAAGGAACGCUAAUACCGCAUACGUCCUACGGGAGAAAGCAGGGGACCUUCGGGCCUUGCGCUAUCAGAUGAGCCUAGGUCGGAUUAGCUAGUUGGUGAGGUAAUGGCUCACCAAGGCGACGAUCCGUAACUGGUCUGAGAGGAUGAUCAGUCACACUGGAACUGAGACACGGUCCAGACUCCUACGGGAGGCAGCAGUGGGGAAUAUUGGACAAUGGGCGAAAGCCUGAUCCAGCCAUGCCGCGUGUGUGAAGAAGGUCUUCGGAUUGUAAAGCACUUUAAGUUGGGAGGAAGGGCAUUAACCUAAUACGUUAGUGUUUUGACGUUACCGACAGAAUAAGCACCGGCUAACUCUGUGCCAGCAGCCGCGGUAAUACAGAGGGUGCAAGCGUUAAUCGGAAUUACUGGGCGUAAAGCGCGCGUAGGUGGUUUGUUAAGUUGGAUGUGAAAGCCCCGGGCUCAACCUGGGAACUGCAUCCAAAACUGGCAAGCUAGAGUACGGUAGAGGGUGGUGGAAUUUCCUGUGUAGCGGUGAAAUGCGUAGAUAUAGGAAGGAACACCAGUGGCGAAGGCGACCACCUGGACUGAUACUGACACUGAGGUGCGAAAGCGUGGGGAGCAAACAGGAUUAGAUACCCUGGUAGUCCACGCCGUAAACGAUGUCAACUAAACCGUUGGAAUCCUUGAGAUUUUAGUGGCGCAGCUAACGCAUUAAGUGAAAGCUAUGGGGGACGGC